AAGAUUUAAGUUUUUUUAUUUUAAUUUUUGUAUUUAAAUUGUUUAUUUAAAAUAAAGGAUAAAACAUAGGUGUUGUUCCAAUGAUAUUUUUUGUACUUUUUUUCAUUCAUAAGGUGAUAUCUGUCUAAAACUUAACGUCACAUUCAGAUCCUCUACCAAAACAUGACUAUGUUGUACAUUUAUUUUUCCAAAAAUGGGAGAUUAACUCCACAUGUUAUAUCAUGAAUGGAAAACAGUUCUAACAGCAUAUAAGCAAUUGUACAUAAGUUUAGUCCUUUAAAAAAAUGCUAAUCUAAAAGAUCGAAUCUCAUUCUCCGUUUGUUCUUCAUUCUAUGUUUUUUUUAACACAUUGUAAAAUUCUACUCGCUCUAUCUCAAAUUAUAAAUCAUUUUC
This 393-nucleotide long non-coding RNA is filed under the name Lathyrus oleraceus (garden pea). RNAcentral describes it as "Pisum sativum (pea) long non-coding RNA (PSAT_LNC025337)". Lineage: Eukaryota; Viridiplantae; Streptophyta; Magnoliopsida; Fabales; Fabaceae. The record is from RNAcentral.